RNAcentral lists this ribosomal RNA (497 nucleotides) under uncultured bacterium. RNAcentral's name for it is "partial 16S ribosomal RNA". It matches the Rfam family "Bacterial small subunit ribosomal RNA", at positions 28 to 507 of the family's 1533-position model. The record is from RNAcentral.
GAUGAACGCUGGCGGCGUGCCUAAUACAUGCAAGUCGAGCGAACAGGUGAGGCGCUUGCUCCUUUCUCGUUAGCGGCGGACGGGUGAGUAACACGUGGAUACCCUCCCUAUCAGACUGGGAUAUUUUCGGGAAACCGGAGCUAAUCCCGGAUAAUAUCUUGAACCGCGUGGUUGGAUAGUGAAAGUCGGUUUUUCUGUCACUUAUAGAUGGAUCCCAGCCGCAUUAGCUAGUUGGUAAGGUAACGGCUUAUCAAGGGUACGAUGCGUAGGCGACCGGUGAGGGUGAUAGGCCACACGGGAACGGAGACACGGUCCAGGCUCCUACGGGAGGCAGCAGUAGGGAAUCUUCCGCAGUAGUGGGAAGCCUGACGGAGCAGCGCCGCGUGAGAGAUGAAGAUCUUCGGAGCGUAAAGCUCUGUUAUUAGUGAAGAACAAAUGUCUAAGUAACUAUGCACGUCUUGACGGUACCUAAUCAGAAAGCCACGGCUAACUACGUG